GCACCGGCACUGGACAGAGAGGGUGUGGGGAGCGGCGCGGUGUACCUCUGUCUGCCGGCACUGGACAGAGAGGGUGUGGGGAGCGGCGCGGUGUACCUGUCUGCCGGCGCUGCAGACAGAGAGCGGUGUGGGGAGCGGCGCGGUGUACCUCUGUCUGCCGGCGCUGGACAGAGAGGGUGUGGGGAGCGGCGCGGUGUACCUCUGACUGCCGGCGCUGCAGACAGAGAGCGGUGUGGGGAGCGGCGCGGUGUACCUCUGUCUGCCGGCGCUGCAGACAGAGAGCGAUGUGCAGACGCCGGCGGUGAUCGCGUGUCGGGUGACGGCACUGUGGUGCUCUGGUGUCCGGUGUACGGCCGUAGUGCUGGUUACUGGUGUGGUGCAGCGUGACCGCUACCAUGGCAACUCCUUAUGGGGACGGUGGUGCUGCGAAAUGCACCACUGACUCGUCAAAGUCAAAGUGUGUCAAAACUAAUCAGUGGUGCCUCGAACUGGCCUCCUCGGACGGCGACACCUGCGCCGCACCAGCCGCAGAGUCGACACUGGACCUGCUUCGACACAGUUUGGAGGCCGAGCGAGGGCUAGGAGUCAGCGCUCCACACGUGUUUGUCAUCAUGGGAGCGUCGGGUGAUUUAGCCAAGAAGAAAAUCUAUCCUGCCAUCUGGUGGCUUUUCCGAGAUAAGCUGCUACCAGAAAACACAAGCAUUGUUGGCUAUGCGCGGUCAAAACUCAAGGUCAGCGACAUCCGAGAGAAAUGCGACAAAUUCAUGAAGGUGCGCUCUGAAGACCGGGAGCGGUACGAGCAGUUCUGGUCUGUCAAUCAGUACGUCUCGGGCGCGUACGACGACCCUGCGGCGUUCGAUGCGCUCAGUGAGGCCAUCUCGGCGCUGGAAACAGAAGCCACCGGAAAUCGUCUGUUCUACCUGGCGCUCCCGCCGUCCGUGUUUGGUGACGUCACCAGCGGCAUAGCGCGCCACUGUAUGGCCACAAACCCGGGCUGGAGCCGUAUCAUUGUGGAGAAGCCAUUCGGACGCGACGCGGCCAGCUCGGCCCAACUGUCUGCCCACCUCUCGUCUCUGUUUACCGAGUCACAGAUCUACCGGAUCGACCACUACCUGGGCAAGGAGAUGGUGCAGAACCUGAUGACCCUGAGAUUUGGUAACGUGCUAUUCGAGCCCACGUGGAACCGGAACCACCUGGCCUGCGUCACUAUCACGUUCAAGGAGCCUUUCGGAACCAAGGGACGUGGCGGCUAUUUCGACCAGUUCGGAAUCAUCAGGGAUGUGAUGCAGAACCACCUGCUGCAGAUCCUCUGCCUCGUUGCGAUGGAGAAGCCGUGCUCCACGGCCGCCCCCGAUAUCCGCGACGAAAAGGUCAAAGUGCUCAAGUGCACCCGCCAGCUCGGCCUGGAGGACGUCGUUCUUGGCCAGUAUGUGGGUGACCCUCACGGUGACGGCGACGCCAGACAGGGGUACCUGGACGACCCGACCGUGCCCAAGGACUCUGUGACGCCUACAUUCGCGGCAGCCGUCCUGCGCAUCGACAACGAACGCUGGGAGGGGGUGCCGUUCAUCCUCCGCUGCGGAAAAGCGCUGAACGAGCGGAAGGCCGAGGUUCGCCUGCAGUACCGCGACGUGGCCGGCGACAUAUUCCGCGGACAGGUGCACCGGAACGAGCUGGUCAUCCGGCUGCAGCCCGGCGAGGCCGUCUACGUCAAAAUGAUGACCAAGCGGCCCGGCAUGACGUUCGACAUGGAGGAGACCGAGCUGGACCUCACCUACUCUGCACGCUAUAAGGAUCUGAAGCUGCCGGACGCGUACGAGCGCCUACUUCUGGAUGUGUUCUGCGGCGCUCAGAUGCAUUUUGUGCGCUCUGACGAGCUGGAGCACGCCUGGAGGAUAUUUACACCCCUGCUGCACGUCAUAGAUGAACAGAAACCCAAACCAGUGCCGUACAGGUAUGGUUCCCGCGGACCAGCAGAGGCCGAUGAACUGAGCCGGGGACUCGGAUUCCGCUACACGGGAAGCUACUCGUGGAAAGGUGACGACGCACACCUAUAGUCCACACAGCCGGUAAACAUGGACGCUGCAGCCUGUAGUUUUGACACCCAGUGGGGAUACUGUCACAGUUCGCAGGACUUACGUGUCUCUGUUAUUGAGGCAGACACACGAUUAAGUGAUGUCACCACGGUCUGGUAUACGGUAGAGCCACUGCCGUCUCUAGCAUGUACCGGUGCCCAAUCAUAUAGCGGAGGGAACAAGCCUUCUACAACAGUAUUACAUCCACAGAUGGCCGGUGGAACCAAUUAUUUCUGUGCAUGCAUGUUGACCAUUUAUGGGAACUCAGCAAACCAAACACGUGGUUUGACUCAAUGAUAUGCCAUUGGAUACACUUGAAAACGCACCCACAUGAAUUGACGAUCUUGUAGCCACAUGUAUAUUGUGUACCGAAUUGUUCAAUAAUUGUAACCGUUUUUUAUACGUUAUUGGCGCAACUAGUGACAUUGAUGUAACUUUUUAUUGACUUCGUCCCCAACGGUGCAGAUCCCGCUGAUAAUCGUAUUUGUAAUCCGCUGUGGACACUUCCCUCAUCGAUGUACCUGUAUGGGUCCCAUUCACAAGACAAUAUAUGGCUGUCAGACGUUUUCACGUUGGUGAAAAUAAAAUAAUAAUGUAACAGACAAA
RNAcentral lists this unclassified non-coding RNA (2681 nucleotides) under Amphibalanus amphitrite. RNAcentral's name for it is "glucose-6-phosphate 1-dehydrogenase-like, transcript variant X2". Lineage: Eukaryota; Metazoa; Arthropoda; Thecostraca; Balanomorpha; Balanidae. The record is from RNAcentral.